GAACGCUAGCGGUGUGCCUAAGAUAUGCAAGUUGAAGGCGUAAGGAAGCUUGCUUCCAUUACGCCUGGCAGACGGCUGAGUAACGCGUGGGAAUCUGCCCCGAACACGAGAAUAACCCACCGAAAGGUGGAGUAAUACUCGAUAGUUCCGCUUUAACUUCGUGUUGAAGUGGAUAAAGCUCCGGCGGUUCGGGAUGAGCCCGCGUCCUAUCAGGUUGUUGGUGGGGUAAAAGCCUACCAAGCCUAUGACGGGUAGCUGGUCUGAGAGGAUGUCCAGCCAGACUGGGACUGCGACACGGCCCAGACUCCUACGGGAGGCAGCAAUUAGGAAUCGUGCGCAAUGGACGAAAGUCUGACGCCGCGACACCGCGUGGAGGAUGAAGGUCUUAGGAUCGUAAACUCCUUUUAUCGAGGAACAAGUUCUGAGUGUACUCGAUGAAUAAGUGCCUGCUAACCACGUGCCAGAAGCAUCGGUAAUACGUGGGGCACAAGCGUUAUCCGGAUUUACUGGGCGUAAAGAGAUGCGUAGGCGUCUUUCCAAGUCAGUUGUUAAAUAUUCCGGCUCAACCGGAACAUGGCAACUGAUACUGGAUUGAUUGAGGUAGUCAGAGGAGAGGGGAAUUCCUGGUGGAGCGGUUAAAUGCGUAGAUAUCAGGAGGAAUACCAAGGGCGAAGGCACCUCUCUGGGACUAACCUGACGCUAAGGCUCGAAAGCGUGGGUAGCAAAACGGAUUAGGUACCCGUGUAGUCCACGCCGUAAACGAUCCCUGCUAGGUGUUUGGUU
This 783-nucleotide ribosomal RNA is filed under the name uncultured organism. Its description in RNAcentral is "bacterial SSU rRNA". It matches the Rfam family "Bacterial small subunit ribosomal RNA", at positions 31 to 829 of the family's 1533-position model. The record is from RNAcentral.